Molecule: ribosomal RNA, 372 nt
Filed under: uncultured organism
Description: bacterial SSU rRNA
Rfam family: Bacterial small subunit ribosomal RNA
Source: RNAcentral
CGUAGGAUGCAAGCGUUGUCCGGAUUUAUUGGGCGUAAAGAGUUCGUAGGUGGUUCGUUAAGUCUGAUGUUAAAGACCGGGGCUCAACUUCGGGACUGCAUUGGAUACUGGCGGACUUGAGUGUGGUAGAGGCAAUCGGAAUUCCAGGUGUAGCGGUGAAAUGCGUAGAUAUCUGGAAGAACACCGGUGGCGCAAGCGGAUUGCUGGGCCAUAACUGACACUGAGGAACGAAAGCUAGGGUAGCGAAUGGGAUUAGAUACCCCAGUAGUCCUAGCCGUAAACGAUGGAUACUAGGCGUAUCGGGUAUCGACCCCUGAUGUGCCGCAGCUAACGCGAUAAGUAUCCCGCCUGAGUAGUACGGCCGCAAGGUUG